RNAcentral lists this ribosomal RNA (433 nucleotides) under uncultured bacterium. RNAcentral describes it as "partial 16S ribosomal RNA". It matches the Rfam family "Bacterial small subunit ribosomal RNA", at positions 29 to 507 of the family's 1533-position model. The record is from RNAcentral.
AACGAACGCUGGCGGCAUGCCUAACACAUGCAAGUCGAACGAAGCCUUCGGGCUUAGUGGCGCACGGGUGCGUCACGCGUGGGAAUCUGCCCCUUGCUUCGGAAUAACAGUUAGAAAUGACUGCUAAUACCGGAUGAAGUCUUCGGACCAAAGAUUUAUCGGCAAGGGAUGAGCCCGCGUAGGAUUAGGUAGUUGGUGGGGUAAAGGCCUACCAAGCCGACGAUCCUUAGCUGGUCUGAGAGGAUGAUCAGCCACACUGGGACUGAGACACGGCCCAGACUCCUACGGGAGGCAGCAGUGGGGAAUAUUGGACAAUGGACGCAAGUCUGAUCCAGCAAUGCCGCGUGAGUGAUGAAGGCCUUAGGGUUGUAAAGCUCUUUUACCAGGGAUGAUAAUGACAGUACCUGGAGAAUAAGCUCCGGCUAACUCCGUG